Molecule: ribosomal RNA, 672 nt
Filed under: bacterium enrichment culture clone OTU9
Lineage: Bacteria
Description: bacterial SSU rRNA
Rfam family: Bacterial small subunit ribosomal RNA
Source: RNAcentral
GAGUUUGAUCCUGGCUCAGAACGAACGCUGGCGGCAGGCCUAACACAUGCAAGUCGAGCGAGGACUUCGGUCCUAGCGGCGGACGGGUGAGUAACGCGUGGGAACGUGCCCUUUGCUUCGGAAUAGCCCUGGGAAACUGGGAGUAAUACCGAAUGUGCCCUACGGGGGAAAGAUUUAUCGGCAAAGGAUCGGCCCGCGUUGGAUUAGGUAGUUGGUGGGGUAAUGGCCUACCAAGCCGACGAUCCAUAGCUGGUUUGAGAGGAUGAUCAGCCACACUGGGACUGAGACACGGCCCAGACUCCUACGGGAGGCAGCAGUGGGGAAUCUUAGACAAUGGGCGCAAGCCUGAUCUAGCCAUGCCGCGUGAGCGAUGAAGGCCUUAGGGUUGUAAAGCUCUUUCGUGGGGGAAGAUAAUGACUGUACCCCAAGAAGAAGCCCCGGCUAACUCCGUGCCAGCAGCCGCGGUAAUACGGAGGGGGCUAGCGUUGUUCGGAAUUACUGGGCGUAAAGCGCACGUAGGCGGACUGGAAAGUCAGGGGUGAAAUCCCGGGGCUCAACCCCGGACUGCCUUUGAACUCCAGUCUUGAGUCGAGAGAGGUGAGUGGAUUCCGAGUGUAAAGGUGAAUUCGUAGAUAUUCGGAGGAACACCAGUGGCGAAGCGGCUCACUGGCU